GGUGAUCUAGCCAUGGGCAGGUUGAAGGUUGGGUAACACUAACUGGAGGACCGAACCGACUAAUGUUGAAAAAUUAGCGGAUGACCUGUGGCUGGGGGUGAAAGGCCAAUCAAACCGGGAGAUAGCUGGUUCUCCCCGAAAGCUAUUUAGGUAGCGCCUCGUGAACUCAUCUCCGGGGGUAGAGCACUGUUUCGGCUAGGGGGCCAUCCCGGCUUACCAACCCGAUGCAAACUGCGAAUACCGGAGAAUGUUAUCACGGGAGACACACGGCGGGUGCUAACGUCCGUCGUGAAGAGGGAAACAACCCAGACCGCCAGCUAAGGUCCCAAAGUCAUGGUUAAGUGGGAAACGAUGUGGGAAGGCCCAGACAGCCAGGAUGUUGGCUUAGAAGCAGCCAUCAUUUAAAGAAAGCGUAAUAGCUCACUGGUCGAGUCGGCCUGCGCGGAAGAUGUAACGGGGCUAAACCAUGCACCGAAGCUGCGGCAGCGACGCUGAUGCGUUGUUGGGUAGGGGAGCGUUCUGUAAGCCUGUGAAGGUGGCCUGUGAGGGUUGCUGGAGGUAUCAGAAGUGCGAAUGCUGACAUAAGUAACGAUAAAGCGGGUGAAAAGCCCGCUCGCCGGAAGACCAAGGGUUCCUGUCCAACGUUAAUCGGGGCAGGGUGAGUCGACCCCUAAGGCGAGGCCGAAAGGCGUAGUCGAUGGGAAACGGGUUAAUAUUCCCGUACUUGGUGUUACUGCGAAGGGGGGACGGAGAAGGCUAUGUUGGCCGGGCGACGGUUGUCCCGGUUUAAGCGUGUAGGUGUGUGUUCCAGGUAAAUCCGGUUCACUUUAACACUGAGGCGUGAUGACGAGGCACUACGGUGCUGAAGCAACAAAUGCCCUGCUUCCAGGAAAAGCCUCUAAGCAUCAGGUAACAUCAAAUCGUACCCCAAACCGACACAGGUGGUCAGGUAGAGAAUACCAAGGCGCUUGAGAGAACUCGGGUGAAGGAACUAGGCAAAAUGGUGCCGUAACUUCGGGAGAAGGCACGCUGACACGUAGGUGAAGUGAUUUACUCAUGGAGCUGAAGUCAGUCGAAGAUACCAGCUGGCUGCAACUGUUUAUUAAAAACACAGCACUGUGCAAACACGAAAGUGGACGUAUACGGUGUGACGCCUGCCCGGUGCCGGAAGGUUAAUUGAUGGGGUCAGCGCAAGCGAAGCUCCUGAUCGAAGCCCCGGUAAACGGCGGCCGUAACUAUAACGGUCCUAAGGUAGCGAAAUUCCUUGUCGGGUAAGUUCCGACCUGCACGAAUGGCGUAAUGAUGGCCAGGCUGUCUCCACCCGAGACUCAGUGAAAUUGAACUCGCUGUGAAGAUGCAGUGUACCCGCGGCAAGACGGAAAGACCCCGUGAACCUUUACUAUAGCUUGACACUGAACAUUGAGCCUUGAUGUGUAGGAUAGGUGGGAGGCUUUGAAGUGUGGACGCCAGUCUGCAUGGAGCCGGCCUUGAAAUACCACCCUUUAAUGUUUGAUGUUCUAACGUGGACCCGUGAUCCGGGUUGCGGACAGUGUCUGGUGGGUAGUUUGACUGGGGCGGUCUCCUCCUAAAGAGUAACGGAGGAGCACGAAGGUUGGCUAAUCCUGGUCGGACAUCAGGAGGUUAGUGCAAUGGCAUAAGCCAGCUUGACUGCGAGCGUGACGGCGCGAGCAGGUGCGAAAGCAGGUCAUAGUGAUCCGGUGGUUCUGAAUGGAAGGGCCAUCGCUCAACGGAUAAAAGGUACUCCGGGGAUAACAGGCUGAUACCGCCCAAGAGUUCAUAUCGACGGCGGUGUUUGGCACCUCGAUGUCGGCUCAUCACAUCCUGGGGCUGAAGUAGGUCCCAAGGGUAUGGCUGUUCGCCAUUUAAAGUGGUACGCGAGCUGGGUUUAGAACGUCGUGAGACAGUUCGGUCCCUAUCUGCCGUGGGCGCUGGAGAACUGAGGGGGGCUGCUCCUAGUACGAGAGGACCGGAGUGGACGCAUCACUGGUGUUCGGGUUGUCAUGCCAAUGGCACUGCCCGGUAGCUAAAUGCGGAAGAGAUAAGUGCUGAAAGCAUCUAAGCACGAAACUUGCCCCGAGAUGAGUUCUCCCUGAGACUUUAGGUCUCCUGAAGGAACGUUGAAGACGACGACGUUGAUAGGCCGGGUGUGUAAGCGCAGCGAUGCGUUGAGCUAACCGGUACUAAUGAACCGUGAGGCUUAACCUUACA
RNAcentral lists this ribosomal RNA (2229 nucleotides) under Salmonella enterica. Its description in RNAcentral is "partial 23S ribosomal RNA". It matches the Rfam family "Bacterial large subunit ribosomal RNA", at positions 724 to 2925 of the family's 2925-position model. The record is from RNAcentral. Lineage: Bacteria; Pseudomonadati; Pseudomonadota; Gammaproteobacteria; Enterobacterales; Enterobacteriaceae.